GGUCGAGUCUACCGUAUCGACAGACUCAUAAUCCGUCGGUCGUGGGUUCAAGCCCCACCUGGCCCACCC
RNAcentral lists this transfer RNA (69 nucleotides) under Cellulomonas shaoxiangyii. RNAcentral's name for it is "Cellulomonas sp. Z28 tRNA-Met". The record is from RNAcentral. Lineage: Bacteria; Bacillati; Actinomycetota; Actinomycetes; Micrococcales; Cellulomonadaceae.